GGAUCUGGCACUCCCAGGACUCCCGGCCGGGGUCGCUCUUCACUCCUCAGCGCGACGUCGUGUCGAGUUCCCAAAAAGCUCCGCAGGGGCUGUAGGGAGGCAUACAAGAAUUAAAUUCUGAAUAAGUCUGCAGGUAGGAUGGACAGUUAUUUUAAAGCAGCUGUCAGUGACUUGGACAAACUCCUUGAUGAUUUUGAACAGAACCCAGAUGAACAAGAUUAUCUCCAAGAUGUACAAAAUGCAUAUGAUUCUAACCACUGCUCAGUUUCUUCAGAGUUGGCUUCCUCACAGCGAACUUCAUUGCUCCCAAAAGACCAAGAAUGCGUUAAUAGUUGUGCCUCAUCAGAAACAAGCUAUGGAACAAAUGAGAGUUCCCUGAAUGAAAAAACACUCAAGGGACUUACUUCUAUACAAAAUGAAAAAAAUGUAACAGGACUUGAUCUUCUUUCUUCUGUGGAUGGUGGUACUUCAGAUGAAAUGCAGCCGUUAUAUAUGGGACGAUGUAGUAAACCUAUCUGUGAUCUGAUAAGUGACAUGGGUAACUUAGUUCAUGCAACCAAUAGUGAAGAAGAUAUUAAAAAAUUAUUGCCAGAUGAUUUUAAGUCUAAUGCAGAUUCCUUGAUUGGAUUGGAUUUAUCUUCAGUGUCAGAUACUCCCUGUAUUUCUUCAACAGACCAUGAUAGUAAUACUGUCAGAGAACAACAGAAUGAUAUCAGUUCUGAAUUACAAAAUAGAGAAAUCGGAGGAAUCAAAGAAUUGGGUAUAAAAGUAGAUACAACACUUUCAGAUUCCUAUAAUUACAGUGGAAGAGAAAAUUUAAAAGAUGAAAAGAUCUUUAAUCAGUUACAAUCAAUUGUUGAUUUUAACAUGUCAUCUGCUUUGACUCAACAAAGUUCCAAAAUGUUUGAUGCCAAAGACAAGCUACAACACAAGAGCCAGCCAUGUGGAUUACUAAAAGAUGUUGGCUUAGUAAAAGAGGAAGUAGAUGUGGCAGUCAUAACUGCCGCAGAAUGUUUAAAAGAAGAGGGCAAGACAAGUGCUUUGACCUGCAGCCUUCUGAAAAAUGAAGAUUUAUGCUUAAAUGAUUCAAAUUCAAGAGAUGAAAAUUUCAAAUUACCUGACUUUUCCUUUCAGGAAGAUAAGACUGUUAUAAAACAAUCUGCACAAGAAGUCUCAAAAAAUUUAGACCUUAAGGAUAAUGAUGUAAUCCAAGAUUCCUCUUCAGCUUUACAUGUUUCCAGUGAAGAUGUACCGUCCUCAUUGUCCUGUCUUCCUGCAUCUGGGUCUAUGUGUGGAUCAUUAAUUGAAAGUAAAGCACGGGGUGAUUUUUUACCUCAGCAUGAACAUAAAGAUAAUAUACAAGAUGCAGUGACUAUACAUGAAGAAAUACAGAACAGUGUUGUUCUAGGUGGGGAACCAUUCAAAGAGAAUGAUCUUUUGAAACAGGAAAAAUGUAAAAGCAUACUCCUUCAGUCAUUAAUUGAAGGGAUGGAAGACAGAAAGAUAGAUCCUGACCAGACAGUAAUCAGAGCUGAGUCUUUGGAUGGUGGUGACACCAGUUCUACAGUUGUAGAAUCUCAAGAGGGGCUUUCUGGCACUAAUGUCCCAGAGUCUUCUGAUUGUUGUGAAGGUUUUAUUAAUACUUUUUCAAGCAAUGAUAUGGAUGGGCAAGACUUAGAUUACUUUAAUAUUGAUGAAGGCGCAAAAAGUGGCCCACUAAUUAGUGAUGCUGAACUUGAUGCCUUUCUGACAGAACAGUAUCUUCAGACCACUAACAUAAAGUCUUUUGAAGAAAAUGUAAAUGACUCUAAAUCGCAAAUGAAUCAGAUAGAUAUGAAAGGCUUAGAUGAUGGAAACAUCAAUAAUAUAUAUUUCAAUGCAGAAACAGGAGCUAUUGGGGAAAGUCAUGGUAUUAAUAUAAUUUGUGAAACAGUUGAUAAACAAAAUACAAUAGAAAAUGGCCUUUCUUUAGGAGAAGAAAGCACUAUUCCAGUUCAACAAGGGUUACCUACCAGUAAGUCUGAGAUUACAAAUCAAUUAUCAGUCUCUGAUAUUAACAGUCAGUCUGUUGGAGGGGCCAGACCUAAGCAAUUGUUUAGCCUUCCAUCAAGAACAAGGAGUUCAAAGGACCUGAAUAAGCCAGAUGUUCCAGAUACACUAGAAAGUGAACCCAGCACAGCAGAUACCGAUGUUCCAAUCACUUGUGCUAUAGAUUCUACAGCUGAUCCACAGGUUAGCUUCAACUCUAAUUACAUUGAUAUAGAAAGUAAUUCUGAAGGUGGAUCUAGUUUCCUAACUGCAAAUGAAGAUUCUGUACCUGAAAACACUUGCAAAGAAGGCUUGGUUUUGGGCCAGAAACAGCCUACUUGGGUUCCUGAUUCAGAAGCUCCAAACUGUAUGAACUGCCAAGUCAAAUUUACUUUUACAAAACGGCGACACCAUUGCCGAGCAUGUGGGAAAGUAUUUUGUGGUGUCUGUUGUAAUAGGAAGUGUAAACUGCAAUAUCUAGAAAAGGAAGCAAGAGUAUGUGUAGUCUGCUAUGAAACUAUUAGUAAAGCUCAGGCAUUUGAAAGGAUGAUGAGUCCAACUGGUUCUAAUCUUAAAUCUAAUCAUUCUGAUGAAUGUACUACUGUCCAGCCUCCUCAGGAGAACCAAACAUCCAGUAUACCUUCACCAACAACUUUGCCAGUCUCAGCACUUAAACAACCAGGUGUUGAAGGACUGUGUUCCAAAGAACAGAAGAGAGUAUGGUUUGCAGAUGGUAUAUUGCCCAAUGGUGAAGUUGCAGAUACAACAAAAUUAUCAUCUGGAAGUAAAAGAUGUUCUGAAGACUUUAGUCCUCUCUCACCUGAUAUGCCUAUGACAGUAAACACAGUGGAUCAUUCCCAUUCUACUACAGUGGAAAAGCCAAACAAUGAGACAGGAGAUAUUACAAGAAAUGAGAUAAUUCAGAGUCCUAUUUCUCAGUUUCCAUCAGUGGAAAAAUUGUCUAUGAACACAGGAAAUGAGGGGUUACCUACUUCUGGUUCAUUUACACUAGAUGAUGAUGUUUUUGCAGAAACUGAAGAACCAUCUAGUCCUACUGGUGUCUUAGUUAACAGCAAUUUACCUAUUGCUAGUAUUUCAGAUUAUAGGUUACUGUGUGAUAUUAACAAGUAUGUCUGCAAUAAGAUUAGUCUUCUACCUAAUGAUGAGGACAGUUUGCCCCCACUUCUGGUUGCAUCUGGAGAAAAGGGAUCAGUGCCUGUAGUAGAAGAACAUCCAUCUCAUGAGCAGAUCAUUUUGCUUCUUGAAGGUGAAGGCUUUCAUCCUGUUACAUUUGUCCUAAAUGCUAAUCUACUCGUGAAUGUCAAAUUCAUAUUUUAUUCCUCAGACAAAUAUUGGUACUUUUCAACCAAUGGAUUGCAUGGCUUGGGACAGGCAGAAAUUAUUAUUCUAUUGUUAUGUUUGCCAAAUGAAGAUACUAUUCCUAAGGACAUCUUCAGACUAUUUAUCACCAUAUAUAAGGAUGCUCUAAAAGGAAAAUACGUAGAAAACUUGGACAAUAUUACCUUUACUGAGAGUUUUCUCAGUAGCAAGGAUCACGGAGGAUUCCUGUUUAUUACACCUACUUUUCAGAAACUUGAUGAUCUCUCAUUACCAAGUAAUCCUUUUCUUUGUGGAGUUCUUAUCCAGAAGCUUGAGAUUCCCUGGGCAAAGGUUUUUCCUAUGCGUUUAAUGUUGAGAUUGGGUGCAGAAUAUAAAGGUAAGUUUUAGAGUAAUAAGUUAAAUUGCAUAUUUUUAAAUAUACUGAAUGUAAAGACUUUCAGGGAAUCAUUAAAAUCAGUUUUAAUGGAUUAAUGGAACUACUUUUGUUUUGCUAUGCUUUUAAAGUUCUAAGACAACCCUCUUCUACUACCAGGUUGGUCUAGAUAACUGUGGUAUGUCUUCAAGUUUCUAGAUGUUCAUAAGUUCUUUUAUUACCUAAAACUUUUCUUCUAAAAUUUCAGAACAAAACAGAAAACUUUCACAGUGCAGGUUGAGUAUGCCAUAUCUGAAAUGCAUUGGAUCAGUUUUUUGGAUUUUGGACUUUUUCAGAUUUUGGAAUAUUCACAGAGUACAUACCAGUUGAGCAUCCAAAUUCAAAAUCUGAAAUGCUCCAGUGAGCAUUUCUUUUGAGCAUCACAUUGGCAUUUGAAAAAGUUAUAGACUGGGCAUGGUGGCUCACGCCUGUAAUCCCAGCACUUUGGGAGGCCAAGGCGGGCAGAUCACAUGAGGUCAGGAGUUCGAGACCAGCCUGGCCAACAUAGUAAAACCCUGUCUCUACUAAAAAUACAAAAAUUAGCUGGGUGAGGUGGCAGGCGCCUGUAAUCGCAGCUACUCAGGAGCCUGAGGCAGGAGAAUCACCUGAACCCAGGAGGCAGAUUUGCAAUGAGCUAAGAUCAUGCCUCUGCAUUCCAGCCAGGGUGACAGAGCAAGACUACGUCUCAAAAAAAAAAAAAAAAA
This 4485-nucleotide small RNA is filed under the name Pan troglodytes (chimpanzee). RNAcentral describes it as "retained intron". Lineage: Eukaryota; Metazoa; Chordata; Mammalia; Primates; Hominidae. The record is from RNAcentral.